GCAGCAGUGGGGAAUAUUGCGCAAUGGGCGGAAGCCUGACGCAGCGACGCCGCGUGGGGGAUGACGGCCUUCGGGUUGUAAACCUCUUUCGGCCUUGACGAAGCUCUUCGGGGUGACGGUAGGGGUAGAAGAAGCACCGGCCAACUACGUGCCAGCAGCCGCGGUAAUACGUAGGGUGCGAGCGUUGUCCGGAAUUAUUGGGCGUAAAGAGCUCGUAGGCGGUCUGUCGCGUCGGUCGUGAAAACUUGGGGCUUAACCCUGAGCUUGCGGUCGAUACGGGCAUGACUGGAGUUCGGCAGGGGAGACUGGAAUUCCUGGUGUAGCGGUGAAAUGCGCAGAUAUCAGGAGGAACACCGGUGGCGAAGGCGGGUCUCUGGGCCGAUACUGACGCUGAGGAGCGAAAGCGUGGGGAGCGAACAGGAUUAGAUACCCUGGUAGUCCACGCCGUAAACGGUGGGCGCUAGGUGUGGGGGGCCAUUCCACGGUCUCUGUGCCGCAGCUAACGCAUUAAGCGCCCCGCCUGGGGAGUACGGCCGCAAGGCUAAAACUCAAAGGAAUUGACRGGGGCCCGCACAAGCGGCGGAGCAUGUGGAUUAAUUCGAUGCAACGCGAAGAACCUUACCUGGGUUUGACAUGCACCAGACGCAGUCAGAGAUGGCUGUUCCCUUGUGGUUGGUGUGCAGGUGGUGCAUGGCUGUCGUCAGCUCGUGUCGUGAGAUGUUGGGUUAAGUCCCGCAACGAGCGCAACCCUCGUCCCAUGUUGCCAGCGCGUUGUGGCGGGGACUCAUGGGAGACUGCCGGGGUCAACUCGGAGGAAGGUGGGGAUGACGUCAAGUCAUCAUGCCCCUUAUGUCCAGGGCUUCACACAUGCUACAAUGGCCUAUACAGAGGGCUGCGAGACCGCAAGGUGGAGCGAAUCCCUUAAAGUAGGUCUCAGUUCGGAUCGGGGUCUGCAACUCGACCCCGUGAAGUUGGAGUCGCUAGUAAUCGCUGAUCAGCAACGCUGCGGUGAAUACGUUCCCGGCCUACACUCAAGCGCCCGU
Molecule: ribosomal RNA, 1043 nt
Filed under: uncultured bacterium
Lineage: Bacteria
Description: bacterial SSU rRNA
Rfam family: Bacterial small subunit ribosomal RNA
Source: RNAcentral